Molecule: ribosomal RNA, 236 nt
Filed under: Staphylococcus aureus
Lineage: Bacteria; Bacillati; Bacillota; Bacilli; Caryophanales; Staphylococcaceae
Description: partial 16S ribosomal RNA
Rfam family: Bacterial small subunit ribosomal RNA
Source: RNAcentral
UUUAUGGAGAGUUUGAUCCUGGCUCAGGAUGAACGCUGGCGGCGUGCCUAAUACAUGCAAGUCGAGCGAACGGACGAGAAGCUUGCUUUUCUGAUGUUAGCGGCGGACGGGUGAGUAACACGUGGAUAACCUACCUAUAAGACUGGGAUAACUUCGGGAAACCGGAGCUAAUACCGGAUAAUAUUUUGAACCGCAUGGUUCAAAAGUGAAAGACGGUCUUGCUGUCACUUAUAGAU